GGGGAUUUAGCUCAGUGGUAGAGCGCUUGCCUAGCAAGCACAAAGCCCUGGGUUCGAUCCCCAGCUCUG
RNAcentral lists this transfer RNA (69 nucleotides) under Rattus norvegicus (Norway rat). It matches the Rfam family "tRNA". From Rfam's summary of the family: Transfer RNA (tRNA) molecules are approximately 80 nucleotides in length. Their secondary structure includes four short double-helical elements and three loops (D, anti-codon, and T loops). Further hydrogen bonds mediate the characteristic L-shaped molecular structure. tRNAs have two regions of fundamental functional importance: the anti-codon, which is responsible for specific mRNA codon recognition, and the 3' end, to which the tRNAs corresponding amino acid is attached (by aminoacyl-tRNA synthetases). tRNAs cope with the degeneracy of the genetic code in two manners: having more than one tRNA (with a specific anti-codon) for a particular amino acid; and 'wobble' base-pairing, i.e. permitting non-standard base-pairing at the 3rd anti-codon position. The record is from Rfam by way of RNAcentral. Lineage: Eukaryota; Metazoa; Chordata; Mammalia; Rodentia; Muridae.